RNAcentral lists this ribosomal RNA (252 nucleotides) under uncultured bacterium. RNAcentral describes it as "partial 16S ribosomal RNA". It matches the Rfam family "Bacterial small subunit ribosomal RNA", at positions 524 to 776 of the family's 1533-position model. The record is from RNAcentral.
UACGUAGGGGACAAGCGUUAUCCGGAUUUAUUGGGCGUAAAGCGUGUGUAGGCGGUUUAUUAAGUUUAAGAUCAAAGCCCGAGGCUCAACCUCGGUUCGUCUUAAAUACUGGUAGACUUGAGUAUGGAAGAGGUAAGUGGAAUUUCUAGUGUAGCGGUAAAAUGCGUAGAUAUUAGAAGGAACACCAGUGGCGAAGGCGACUUACUGGGCCAUUACUGACGCUGAGACACGAAAGCGUGGGGAGCAAAUAGG